CUAGCUUGAUGGCCCUCUCUAGCUCAGUUGGUAGAGCAUGGCACUUUAGCACAACUUAACUCCUGUAAGGCUGUCAAACAUGUCCAAUCACCAUCCAGUUGUCCAUGUUUCAUAAUCAUGUAUAGCUUCUGCUUCUUUGAAAAAAGGACUCAGCCAUUAGUGUCUAUUGGUUGACUUAGCCAACCACCUGGGGGGGAAAAAAAAGCGACCAGACAAUGCACAUCGAGACAGAACCUUCUCCAACUUUUUCCUGGACUAUCAGCUUAUCAUAUAACAAGGUGUGGGGGAUGGGUAGUGGGGUGAGCUGCUGGAGAGUUCCGCCAGUGCCUGCAUCUGCUGUUCCAUUGAGGACUGCAUUGAACUUGUUGUCUAUGAUGCUGUCCUUGGUAACCGGGGGUGCCUCAGCCGGCUCGUCGUGCUCCCACGCCUCGGCCGGCCCGUCAGGCUCGCCCAGUAGAAGACAGCUGUCAGUAGUGGCUGGCUAUAGCAGGAGAUGCGGUCUCUGUGAGGAGGCAUCAGACUGGAGUUUGUUCUGAGAGUAGAGAGAAGCUUUUGUCCCCAGUCUGUUUGAGCCUUCAGACUACACGUCAGUAACAGUUCCACAGACAUGUGUCUACUCUCAUUUAGGCUCUUUCUGACAGAUGGCCG
RNAcentral lists this long non-coding RNA (648 nucleotides) under Salmo salar (Atlantic salmon). Its description in RNAcentral is "lncRNA (ENSSSAG00000096322.1)". The record is from RNAcentral. Lineage: Eukaryota; Metazoa; Chordata; Actinopteri; Salmoniformes; Salmonidae.